CACAUUUUACCUUUCAAGGUGAUUAACAGGUUGCUCAAGGAGGAAUUGGUGUUGCUAUGAAGAAGAUGAUGCUUCCUCAGAUCCUCAGUGGUGCCUACGCUCUUUGCCUGGAAAGCCAGUUGAGUCAAACAGUUUUUGCAGGGAACCUGUGACUGCUAUGUCUUAGAAUGUGAGACUGAAGAAAACUGUAGAAAUUUAUGUGCAGGAUUCAGGACCAAAACUAAUAGAAGAAGCUUAAAGCAGAGAUGUAGCUGAAUCUGUGUUUCCC
Molecule: long non-coding RNA, 268 nt
Filed under: Phasianus colchicus (ring-necked pheasant)
Lineage: Eukaryota; Metazoa; Chordata; Aves; Galliformes; Phasianidae
Description: lncRNA (ENSPCLG00000002192.1)
Source: RNAcentral